AGAGUUUGAUCAUGGCUCAGAUUGAACGCUGGCGGCAGGCCUAACACAUGCAAGUCGAGCGGUAGCACAGAGAGCUUGCUCUCGGGUGACGAGCGGCGGACGGGUGAGUAAUGUCUGGGAAGCUGCCUGAUGGAGGGGGAUAACUACUGGAAACGGUAGCUAAUACCGCAUAAUGUCGCAAGACCAAAGUGGGGGACCUUCGGGCCUCAUGCCAUCAGAUGUGCCCAGAUGGGAUUAGCUAGUAGGUGGGGUAAUGGCUCACCUAGGCGACGAUCCCUAGCUGGUCUGAGAGGAUGACCAGCCACACUGGAACUGAGACACGGUCCAGACUCCUACGGGAGGCAGCAGUGGGGAAUAUUGCACAAUGGGCGCAAGCCUGAUGCAGCCAUGCCGCGUGUGUGAAGAAGGCCUUCGGGUUGUAAAGCACUUUCAGCGGGGAGGAAGGCGGUGAGGUUAAUAACCUCAUCGAUUGACGUUACCCGCAGAAGAAGCACCGGCUAACUCCGUGCCAGCAGCCGCGGUAAUACGGAGGGUGCAAGCGUUAAUCGGAAUUACUGGGCGUAAAGCGCACGCAGGCGGUCUGUCAAGUCGGAUGUGAAAUCCCCGGGCUCAACCUGGGAACUGCAUUCGAAACUGGCAGGCUAGAGUCUUGUAGAGGGGGGUAGAAUUCCAGGUGUAGCGGUGAAAUGCGUAGAGAUCUGGAGGAAUACCGGUGGCGAAGGCGGCCCCCUGGACAAAGACUGACGCUCAGGUGCGAAAGCGUGGGGAGCAAACAGGAUUAGAUACCCUGGUAGUCCACGCCGUAAACGAUGUCGAUUUGGAGGUUGUGCCCUUGAGGCGUGGCUUCCGGAGCUAACGCGUUAAAUCGACCGCCUGGGGAGUACGGCCGCAAGGUUAAAACUCAAAUGAAUUGACGGGGGCCCGCACAAGCGGUGGAGCAUGUGGUUUAAUUCGAUGCAACGCGAAGAACCUUACCUGGUCUUGACAUCCACAGAACUUAGCAGAGAUGCUUUGGUGCCUUCGGGAACUGUGAGACAGGUGCUGCAUGGCUGUCGUCAGCUCGUGUUGUGAAAUGUUGGGUUAAGUCCCGCAACGAGCGCAACCCUUAUCCUUUGUUGCCAGCGGUUAGGCCGGGAACUCAAAGGAGACUGCCAGUGAUAAACUGGAGGAAGGUGGGGAUGACGUCAAGUCAUCAUGGCCCUUACGACCAGGGCUACACACGUGCUACAAUGGCAUAUACAAAGAGAAGCGACCUCGCGAGAGCAAGCGGACCUCAUAAAGUAUGUCGUAGUCCGGAUUGGAGUCUGCAACUCGACUCCAUGAAGUCGGAAUCGCUAGUAAUCGUAGAUCAGAAUGCUACGGUGAAUACGUUCCCGGGCCUUGUACACACCGCCCGUCACACCAUGGGAGUGGGUUGCAAAAGAAGUAGGUAGCUUAACCUUCGGGAGGGCGCUUACCACUUUGUGAUUCAUGACUGGGGUGAAGUCGUAACAAGGUAACCGUAGGGGAACCUGCGGUUGGAUCACCU
Molecule: ribosomal RNA, 1528 nt
Filed under: Klebsiella pneumoniae
Lineage: Bacteria; Pseudomonadati; Pseudomonadota; Gammaproteobacteria; Enterobacterales; Enterobacteriaceae
Description: bacterial SSU rRNA
Rfam family: Bacterial small subunit ribosomal RNA
Source: RNAcentral